RNAcentral lists this ribosomal RNA (459 nucleotides) under uncultured bacterium. RNAcentral describes it as "partial 16S ribosomal RNA". It matches the Rfam family "Bacterial small subunit ribosomal RNA", at positions 338 to 795 of the family's 1533-position model. The record is from RNAcentral.
CCUACGGGAGGCAGCAGUGAGGAAUAUUGGUCAAUGGGCGGGAGCCUGAACCAGCCAAGCCGCGUGCGGGAAGAAGGUACAGCGUAUCGUAAACCUCUUUUGUCAGGGAACAAAGGCGGGUACUAGUCCCCGGCUGAGGGUACCUUAAGAAAAAGCAUCGGCUAACUCCGUGCCAGCAGCCGCGGUAAUACGGAGGAUGCGAGCGUUAUCCGGAUUUAUUGGGUUUAAAGGGUGCGCAGGCGGCCUGUUAAGUCAGCGGUAAAAGCCCGGGGCUCAACCCCGGCGAGCCGUUGAAACUGGCGGGCUGGAGAGGGAGAGAAGUACGCGGAAUGUGCGGUGUAGCGGUGAAAUGCUUAGAUAUCGCGCAGAACCCCGAUUGCGAAGGCAGCGUACCGGCUCCAAACUGACGCUGAGGCACGAAAGCGUGGGUAUCGAACAGGAUUAGAUACCCCAGUAGUC